RNAcentral lists this non-coding RNA (164 nucleotides) under Alphaproteobacteria bacterium. Its description in RNAcentral is "6S RNA". It matches the Rfam family "6S / SsrS RNA". From Rfam's summary of the family: E. coli 6S RNA was the first non coding RNA to be sequenced, but its function was unknown until recently. It consists of 184 nucleotides that fold into an extended hairpin structure with a large single-stranded internal bulge. The record is from RNAcentral. Lineage: Bacteria; Pseudomonadati; Pseudomonadota; Alphaproteobacteria.
AUAUGGCUGCGGGGUGCGUGUAUCCGUACUUUUUCCCUUGGGCCGAUAGUCUUCUAAGACGGGAGCUGUCCCUGCCUGUGCCCCUUGGGUCUGGUAUAUGGCACCCACCUGUUUAACAGGGCCUUAGCGGAUAGUUCAUCGGACACGGCCUUCGCGGCUAUUUU